GCCUCCGAAUGGGUUAUUAGCUGCAUUUAGGGUUGCACUGCCCACGUGUGGUCCCAGGCGCAACAGGCUUGAAAGGAGCUGGACCUGGGCCACAUCAGAGGUGGGGCUGGAGGUUGGCAACCCCAGGGUGGGACCUCCCUCCCCCAGUGGAAUCUUGACUCUCAAGACUUAAGAGCUGGGAGGCACCUCAGAAGCUCAGCCAGCAUAUGUCAGUGCACAAAAGAGGUUCAUGAAAGGAAACAGCUGCACCGAUACCAGCAGGAGUUGCUGCAGCUACAGAUUUGAGGCGUGCACCUGCAUGGGGUUGGGUGACAAGGGAUUUGUCAGGGAAGGGAGUAUCAUGGAAUACCAGGACUCUAAAGCCAGAGGGAUGGAUGGCUCCAGGGUGGCAAAUUGGAUACCCCACUGCUCACCUGGAGGUCAUGGGAUCACACCUGACUUGAAUUAGUCAAAAGGAUUCCAGGAUGAGGGUUAGUUGGUCGUUUAUGAAUGAAAUGAUUAGCUGGAUGUAACAGUUCCUAAUAAACAGAUUGUCCAUAUCAA
Molecule: long non-coding RNA, 543 nt
Organism: Neofelis nebulosa (Clouded leopard)
Lineage: Eukaryota; Metazoa; Chordata; Mammalia; Carnivora; Felidae
Exons: 2
Source: RefSeq, a predicted model, not a curated record